This 589-nucleotide ribosomal RNA is filed under the name Dujonia railenensis. Its description in RNAcentral is "eukaryotic LSU rRNA". It matches the Rfam family "Eukaryotic large subunit ribosomal RNA", at positions 68 to 664 of the family's 3401-position model. The record is from RNAcentral. Lineage: Eukaryota; Fungi; Ascomycota; Pichiomycetes; Serinales; Debaryomycetaceae.
AAAGGGUCUUUGCCUUAGUACGGCGAGUGAGCGGCAAAAGCUCAAAUUUGAAAUCUAGCACUUUCAGUGUUCGAGUUGUAAUUUGAAGAAGGUAACUUUGGAAUUGGCUCUUGUCUAUGUUCCUUGGAACAGGACGUCACAGAGGGUGAGAAUCCCGUGCGAUGAGAUGUCCAAUUCUAUGUAAAGUGCUUUCGAAGAGUCGAGUUGUUUGGGAAUGCAGCUCUAAGUGGGUGGUAAAUUCCAUCUAAAGCUAAAUAUUGGCGAGAGACCGAUAGCGAACAAGUACAGUGAUGGAAAGAUGAAAAGAACUUUGAAAAGAGAGUGAAAAAGUACGUGAAAUUGUUGAAAGGGAAGGGCUUGAGAUCAGACUUGGUAUUUUGUGUUCCUUAUCCUUCUUGGAUUAGGUUCCUCACAGCUUACCGGGCCAGCAUCGGUUUGGAUGGCAGGAUAAUGACAUUGGAAUGUAGCUUUGCUUCGGUGAAGUGUUAUAGACUUUGUUGAUACUGCCUAUCUAGACCGAGGACUGCGUCUUUGACUAGGAUGCUGGCGUAAUGAUCUUAAGCCGCCCGUCUUGAACAACGGGACACAA